GUAAGGAAUCUUUCGCAAUGGGGGCAACCCUGACGAAGCAACACCGCGUGGAGGAUGAAGGCGUUUUCGUUGUAAACUCCUUUUUUGAGGGAAUAAAUCUGAAGGUACCUCAAGAAUAAGCAUCGGCUAACUACGUGCCAGCAGCCGCGGUAAGACGUAGGAUGCAAGCGUUAUCCGGAAUUAUUGGGCGUAAAGAGUUCGUAGGUGGUCUGUUAAGUUGGAUGUCAAAGCCAUGAGCUCAACUCAUGACAGGUGUUCAAAACUGGCAGGCUGGAGACAGGCAGAGGUAGGUAGAAUUCUGUAUGUAGGGGUAAUAUCCGUAGAUAUACAGAGGAAUACCAAAAGCGAAGGCAGCCUACUGGGCCUGUUCUGACACUCAAGAACGAAAGCGUGGGGAGCAAACGGGAUUAGAAACCCUAGUAGUCC
This 426-nucleotide ribosomal RNA is filed under the name uncultured bacterium. RNAcentral's name for it is "bacterial SSU rRNA". It matches the Rfam family "Bacterial small subunit ribosomal RNA", at positions 354 to 796 of the family's 1533-position model. The record is from RNAcentral.